This is a non-coding RNA of Podarcis lilfordi (Lilford's wall lizard), 65 nucleotides long. The record is from the annotation of a GenBank genome assembly. NCBI's taxonomy places the organism in Eukaryota, Metazoa, Chordata, Lepidosauria, Squamata, Lacertidae.
GAGCUUAAUGACAGAGCAUCGGCUUGGCAUGCAGAAGGUGCCAGGUUCAAUCCCUGGCCUCUCCA